Molecule: long non-coding RNA, 1367 nt
Organism: Plodia interpunctella (Indianmeal moth)
Lineage: Eukaryota; Metazoa; Arthropoda; Insecta; Lepidoptera; Pyralidae
Exons: 4
Source: RefSeq, a predicted model, not a curated record
GUUGGAACGCGAUAUCGAUUUAUGUUAGGCGCAGUGAGGACGGGGCGUGGUGUCGCGGCGGGCGCCGGGAGCGACUGCCACGGAGCUCCUGUCUCGUGCACGCUGGAGGAAAUCUCAGGCAGUUGUUGAUGCAGACUUUCUGGACUCGAUAUGAAGGACAUUGAUGCCAAGAUCCUGAAACACCGUCAGAGCCCUGACGAGUCCACCGACUUGGUUUUUAAGGCUGAAAAUCACUGAAAUUCUCUCCCGUUCCGACGUGCCCUGUAGCUGGGACAUUUGUAUUUCACCCAGUUUUGGAUGAUGGGGCGCCUCGUUUUUGACUUCCGACCAAUCAGACCCGUUUCUAUAAAGCCAUAAUCCCAAAAGGCCCUUCCCUGACCCACUCAUAAUGAAUCAAGACUAUAUUCAAGUGAUUGGAGAUGAAUGGGUGUAUUUAUGAAUGGUGUUAACAAGAUAUAAAUAGAUUAAAGGAUAUUCAGUGCAGAUCUUGGGACAUACUGUGCCCUUUUCAAUCUCUGCCCGCCUUAUAAAGAGAAGAGGAGUGGGAGAGCCGUCGGAGGUUGUACAAGUUAAUUGCGAUCACAUAUUUUCCGGCACAACUUUGAAUCAAUCCGUCGUGUAUUACGAAGUGUAUUGGGCCGCGCCUUUACUUCGUAAAGUAAGAACAGUUAAAGUCCCAAUUACUUUGUAUCCUGAGUUUGUUUGUAACGAAUACAUUUCAGGAUUUCUGAUAUAUGAUCAACGUGAGAAUUAUCCCCAACUCCGUACUAAUACAUCGGUAACCCUUGGAGGCUUGGGCUUUUAUUACGUUAAUUUAGCUAUGGUUAGUAAAAAAAGUAAAAGUAUUAACGUAGAUAUUUAUAUCUAUUCCAAAGGAUGUGAUAACGAGACGGAUUUUUUUAAUUUGACAUAAUAAUAUCACAAUGUUCUAAUUUGAUAAAGUCCAUAAGAAAUCCGAGCCCAGAAUAUUUAAAAAUCUGCUUGAAUGCAGUAAGCUAUAUUCUUGAGGCACAUUUUAUUUUGGAAAUUAUUUAUUUUUAAUUUAAUCAUAACAAUGUGACAAUAUAUAAUAAAAAUAGAGUGAAGUGAAUUACAAAAUAUAUAAUUUCAUGUAGUAUAAUAAGUAGUACACCUUACACGAGAUCGUUGUAAAUUUUAUUGUUGUUUAUAGUCAGUAUACUAUAUUUGAAAUUAGUAUUAGAAUUUGUCUGGUUUAUUACUGUCGGCUAGACUUAGCUGUUUCUUCUUAAUAAAGAUUGAUCGAAUACAAACUAAUUGUAUUGUUUUAUUUUCUAUCUAUGUAAUAUAUUAUAUAAUGUAUCGCGCAUUGGAAAUUGCAGUUCUACAAGCUUAUCCCGUCCCAUCCU